GGGCAGCCGCUCCCCUCCAGCUGUUGGGUUUUUUUUAUUAUUUAUUAUUACAGAUAGAAUCCUGGAAAACGACAGAGCAAACCAUGGCUACAGCCUUCUUCCAGCACUCCACUGGAGACGAGUCAACAUUCGAUAGGAGAGAUCCCAGGACUCCAUGGCCACAUGCUGAGGAAGCCUCAGCGCUGAACACGGACGUGAGCCCAUGACACGACAACAUUCGACAGGAGAGUUCCCUGGACUUCAUGACCACAUGCUGAGGAAGCCUCAGCGCUGGACACCGAUGCGAGCCCCUGACACCUCAGCGUUCGACAGGAGAGAUACUUGGACUCCAUGGCCACAUGCUAAGGAAGAUAGAAUGCUGGAAAACAACAGAGUAAGACCAUGGCUACAGCCUUCUUCCAGCACUCCACUGGAGACGGGUCAACAUCAGACAGGAGAGAUCCCUGGACUCCACGGCCACUUGCUAAGGAAGCCUCAGCGCUGGACACAGACGCGAGCCCAAGACACGUCAACAUUCGACAGGACAGAUCCUUGGACUUCAUGGCCACAUGCUGAGGAAGCCUCAGUGCUGGACAUGGACACGAGCCCAUGAUACCAUGCUCCUGGCUGCCUCUCCUUGACGCUCCGCUGGAGACGCUGCAGCAUCCCACGGGACAGUCCUACAGAGGA
Molecule: long non-coding RNA, 669 nt
Filed under: Anas platyrhynchos platyrhynchos (common mallard)
Lineage: Eukaryota; Metazoa; Chordata; Aves; Anseriformes; Anatidae
Description: lncRNA (ENSAPLG00000029049.1)
Source: RNAcentral